This 424-nucleotide ribosomal RNA is filed under the name uncultured bacterium. RNAcentral describes it as "bacterial SSU rRNA". It matches the Rfam family "Bacterial small subunit ribosomal RNA", at positions 207 to 622 of the family's 1533-position model. The record is from RNAcentral.
CAAGACCUUGCGCUUUUUGAGCGGCCGAUGCCUGAUUAGCUAGUUGGUAAGGUAAUGGCUUACCAAGGCAACGAUCAGUAGCUGGUCUGAGAGGACGACCAGCCACACUGAGACUGAGACACGGCCCAGACUCCUACGGGAGGCAGCAGUGGGGAAUUUUGGACAAUGGGCGAAAGCCUGAUCCAGCCAUGCCGCGUGAGUGAAGAAGGCCUUCGGGUUGUAAAGCUCUUUCGGUCGGGAAGAAAUAGUUGUGGCUAAUAUCCACAAUGAAUGACGGUACCGACAUAAGAAGCACCGGCUAACUACGUGCCAGCAGCCGCGGUAAUACGUAGGGUGCAAGCGUUAAUCGGAAUUAUUGGGCGUAAAGGGUGCGCAGGCGGUUGUAUAAGUCAGAUGUGAAAUCCCUGGGCUUAACCUAGGAAUU